This 347-nucleotide ribosomal RNA is filed under the name uncultured fungus. RNAcentral's name for it is "SSU rRNA". It matches the Rfam family "Eukaryotic small subunit ribosomal RNA", at positions 20 to 370 of the family's 1831-position model. Lineage: Eukaryota; Fungi. The record is from RNAcentral.
GUAGUCAUAUGCUUGUCUCAAAGAUUAAGCCAUGCAUGACUAAGUAUAAGCAAUUUAUACGGUGAAACUGCGAAUGGCUCAUUAAAUCAGUUAUCGUUUAUUUGAUAGUACCUUACUACAUGGAUACCUGUGGUAAUUCUAGAGCUAAUACAUGCUGAAAACCCCGACUUCGGAAGGGGUGUAUUUAUUAGAUAAAAAACCAACGCCCUUCGGGGCUCCUUGGUGAUUCAUAAUAACUUAACGAAUCGCAUGGCCUUGCGCCGGCGAUGGUUCAUUCAAAUUUCUGCCCUAUCAACUUUCGAUGGUAGGAUAGUGGCCUACCAUGGUGGCAACGGGUAACGGGGAAU